Molecule: ribosomal RNA, 402 nt
Filed under: uncultured bacterium
Lineage: Bacteria
Description: bacterial SSU rRNA
Rfam family: Bacterial small subunit ribosomal RNA
Source: RNAcentral
UGGGGAAUAUUGGACAAUGGGCGAAAGCCUGAUCCAGCCAUGCCGCAUGAGUGAUGAAGGCCCUAGGGUUGUAAAGCUCUUUCACCGGUGAAGAUAAUGACGGUAGCCGGAGAAGAAGCCCCGGCUAACUUCGUGCCAGCAGCCGCGGUAAUACGAAGGGGGCUAGCGUUGUUCGGAAUUACUGGGCGUAAAGCGCACGUAGGCGGAUUGUUAAGUCGGGGGUGAAAUCCCGGGGCUCAACCCCGGAACUGCCUUCGAUACUGGCAAUCUAGAGUCCGGAAGAGGUGAGUGGAAUUCCGAGUGUAGAGGUGAAAUUCGUAGAUAUUCGGAGGAACACCAGUGGCGAAGGCGGCUCACUGGUCCGGUACUGACGCUGAGGUGCGAAAGCGUGGGGAGCAAACA